Molecule: ribosomal RNA, 200 nt
Filed under: uncultured prokaryote
Description: partial 16S ribosomal RNA
Rfam family: Bacterial small subunit ribosomal RNA
Source: RNAcentral
CGUCAAGUCCUCAUGGCCCUUAUGCCCAGGGCUGCACACGUCCUACAAUGGCACACACAGAGGGAUGCAAAAUCGUGAGAUCAAGCAAAUCCCAAAAAAUGUGCCUCAGUUCGGAUUGGAGUCUGCAAUUCGACUCCAUGAAGUCGGAAUCGCUAGUAAUCGCGGGUCAGCAUACCGCGGUGAAUGUGUUCCUGAGCCUU